AAUCAGUCCAUGCAGCGAAGGAACUGAACAAUUGUGGGACCGUAUUUGGGCCGAAAAUGUGUGUGGUACGGAAACCCAGAAAUGGCAUGAGUUCAACAUAAAACAUGGAUUAGAAUUUUAGCGGGGGAUCAAGUAAAAUCUGGAAGUGUUACAAGAUGGAAGAGUGAGCCUACAGUUGAAAAACACUGAAAGUGCAUUACCAUUAAGGUAUGAGCUGCUUCUCUUGCUAAAGAACAACUUGUCCUUUACGUUCAGAGUGUUGGUGAAGCUGGGUACUUAAAUGGCUCUAAAGAUGUUUCACUUCGCUGGCAUUGCAGUGAUGAACAUCAUACAUGGACUUUUUAGGAAAGGAUUUUCAGCAUACUGGGAACACAACUAUCAACAAUGCAACAUUCUAGGGGUGUUAUUUUAUCAUUCAAGAGCCUUAUACAAUGAUUUUCAUCUGCAAUUUGUAUGGCCUUUCCCAAGCUUCUGCCAGAAGUUGAAUCUAUAAGUCAUGUAAGUCACAUGAGCAACAAUUGAGAUGCUUAAUGGUGUUUUUCUUUUCUCAGCAUAGGUUAAUAGUAACAUUGGAUCUGAAAAGAUUCUUGGUUGGGGCAAGACACUGAAUAAAUUGUAAUGAUUGAAUGGAUGACAUGACAUUUCUAUACUUAAUUUGGAUUCCCGAGACGGUAUUUUAUAUUUAAAAAAUUGAAGUGCAUAUCUGGGCUCCCUUCCUUUCCGUAGCCCCGUUUCCCCUUGACUCGUAAUAAGCCCGUAGGGGGUCAUGCCCCUACUGUACGGUAUAUAUAAAAACAACAUAUACCGAGGUUUGGAGGGCUCUGGCCGGAAAGGGGACGUGGGGGUCCGCUUAGUCCGAUGAUGUGUUCACGGAGGGCUACGUGGCUACACACAAAUCCGAACUAAAGGUUAAUCGCUCCUGUAAAAAUGUUCCAAAUCUUCAGCUCUUCUUCCGGCUUCUCUUAGCCAAUCACCGGGUAAUCUCCCCGGUGGGUC
This is a long non-coding RNA of Daphnia carinata, 996 nucleotides long. RefSeq lists it as uncharacterized. The record is from RefSeq and is a predicted model, not a curated record. NCBI's taxonomy places the organism in Eukaryota, Metazoa, Arthropoda, Branchiopoda, Diplostraca, Daphniidae. The transcript has 3 exons.